AGCGGACGCUGGCGGCAGGCUUAACACAUGCAAGUCGGACGGGCACUUCGGUGUCAGUGGCAGACGGGUGAGUAACACGUGGGAACGUACCUUUUGGUUCGGAACAACACAGGGAAACUUGUGCUAAUACCGGAUAAGCCCUUACGGGGAAAGAUUUAUCGCCGAAAGAUCGGCCCGCGUCUGAUUAGCUAGUUGGUGAGGUAAUGGCUCACCAAGGCGACGAUCAGUAGCUGGUCUGAGAGGAUGAUCAGCCACAUUGGGACUGAGACACGGCCCAAACUCCUACGGGAGGCAGCAGUGGGGAAUAUUGGACAAUGGGCGCAAGCCUGAUCCAGCCAUGCCGCGUGAGUGAUGAAGGCCCUAGGGUUGUAAAGCUCUUUUGUGCGGGAAGAUAAUGACGGUACCGCAAGAAUAAGCCCCGGCUAACUUCGUGCCAGCCGCCGCCGUAA
Molecule: ribosomal RNA, 449 nt
Filed under: uncultured bacterium
Lineage: Bacteria
Description: partial 16S ribosomal RNA
Rfam family: Bacterial small subunit ribosomal RNA
Source: RNAcentral